AUUUUAAAUUAAAUGUGUGUGACUUUAUAUAGGCUACCAGCACAAGCAAAGGACUGAGACUAAAAGAUCAGUUUAUUCUCGCGAUACAACGAGGUGCAAUGUGACAUCACACACAAUUAGCCUAUGCAUAAAUUAACUCGCGAUAAUUAAUGUUGUUGAUGCCUUGAUGUUCAUACAGUUUAAUAUCCACUCAGCAGCUUGCACCAACGCACAUCCCCUAGAUGGAGGCGUAGAUCAUUGUGGGAUCAUUCGAUUGGCCCUUUGGGAAUAACUGGACAAACCACUUGAACCCAGCACAUCACCUCUGACCCUUGUGUCAGCUGUGACUGGUGCUCGAGAGACUUGCGUUGACAUCAACUUCAAAUAUGACGCUGAAGGGCAUCAAUUAAGUCUCCUUUGACUUCUGGAUCGCAGAUUGGUUAAUAUUUAUGUAAAAUGGCUAAAUACGUUUUAGAAAUUAUAUUAAUAGUAAGCCUACAUUUUGACAAAGGCCUAGCUAUGAUAGCACAUUAAAAUGUAUUUCACUGUGCUCUAGAUGUUUGUGACUUCACUUUUUUUCAUUUAGACUAUUUUAACAAUACAUCAAGACUAAUAUGUAUGUUGCUUGCGCAUGAAGAAUGUUGUUCUUUUCGCAGAAUAACAAACUUCCCCUCCCCCACGGGCUCAUCAUUUGUUUAAGACCUAUUCUUUUUCUUUAAGAGGCUUGUUUAGAGCAAAGAGCACGUGUCUGGUCAGUUAAGAGUGGUCUGACCCCUUGGUCAACCAUGAACAGUCAUACCCUAUUCUAUUGCUUAAACCUCAGAGGUCAGCUAGAAAAGCUGUUGUAAAGAUGAGGGGAGAACAUGGAGUGUGUGUACCUAGGCUACUUAACCAUAUUUGUAAAAAUGCAGAUGGUUUUGUCAUGUUUGGAGUGUGGGUUUUAGGGCUAGGUUAUAAAAUGUGUAACUAUAGAAACAAUCUAUGCACUUCCCCCAUUUCGAUAGCUAUACGCAAAGGGUUUUUUUUUUUUUUUUGCUGGCUCCAACAUAACAUCGAUACAGUUUAUCUGCACAUAAACAUAUUCAGAAUCCAAUAAUGAUAAUAAAAAAAAACAGUUGUUUUAAAAUCUACAACCUAAACUGUGAAAUUGAAUGUCAAGUGCAAAGAGCGCUACUGUAACAACUGCUGUGGUGAGUUAAAACAUUAAUAGAAAACAUGGACAUUUUAAACAUUUUAAUUUAACAAAUAUAGAACAAUUUAAAGCAAAACAGCAAAUACAUUUGGGAACAAACACACUGUAAAAACAGACAUGUGUGUUGAGUUUGCACUGUUGUUGCCCUCAAUAUUUCUGCAUUGGAAAGUGUUACAACCCUUCCUGUCUGGUCAGAUAUAAAAUUUGAAUUAAAAGCGUGUGUGUAUUUCAAAUUGAACAAGAGAACCUGCUGAAUCAGAUGAUAUUAACCCAUAUGUAAUGUAAAAUCAUUCAUCACACUAAAUUAAAAGAGACGGGGAGACAUCUCGAAUUUUUUUGCCUUGUAAAUCUUCUAUAUUUUUACAGAGAGUCUUACGAUUUGUACCUCUAACUCAGUGGAGUGGUGCUCAUGUAUAUGAUGCAGAUUUCACCCCUGUAGCUGAUUUCUAAUUGCAAACUUACAACUUACCCCGUGUUACAGCAGUGCAGUCUCUCCUACAAUAUUAACUCGACAUCCGACGACUAACGAGUCUCUUCUUUCUCCACAGGCUUAUCCUGAUAUGAACGCUAUGAUUUAAAUUACUGGAAAUCUAAUACAGAGAUUGGUUAUUGCUUACAGUAAAUGUUUGUUGAAUAGCAUAUACGAUGGAUAGUUGUAAAGUUUUGUAAUGAAAUAAAAUAAAUGAAUUUUGUUCUGUUGAUAUCGUCAGUUUGUUUCUUUCCCCCUUUUUUGUUAAUUUAAUUGAUGCAAGUCAAUUACGCCAUAAUAAAUGAUAUAAACUGGUGGGAAGGAGUUUCAUUAUGCAAUAAAAUGGAGAAUAGUUUCCACAUCUUUUGUUUUUUCGCGUAAAAUCAGGUAGAACAUUCUCAGCAUUAUCGGUGGUGAAAUAGUUCAUGUAACCAAAGUUUGUGCCCAAACUUAUUCAACGUAUGCAUUUCACCACUGCCUGCAACAUGUUUUGAUAAGAUGAUAUUGAGAACGUAAACUUUUUAAUCUCUUUAAGCUCUAAAAAUGAUCUGCCCGUCUUCUGUACGCUCCACAAAAACUGAAUGAAGCAACAGACGUGGAAUUAUAUGUAAAAAUGUACAGAAACGUAUUUUAAAUAUAAUAUUCAAAUUCCGAUUAAGUUAUAUAGGCUAUUGGUUGGAAGUAAUCUAAUUAAAAGCAGGCCUAUUUUAACAUAAGAUAUAAAGGUUUUAUUUGAUAGAGCACACGAUCAUUUGUACUACUCCACGAUUCACUGACAAACUCGAGAGUGAAAACUCUUCAGAUGUGUUUGUGAUUCUGGAACUGCGCAGGAAAAACACCCAUCAAAAUUAAAUUUCAACUGAAGAUUAAAUCUUGUCAGAUUUGUCAUAGACAUCCAUCUUAACUUGAGAGCUGUGUGUGAAUCCUUCCUUUAUGGCUUAAUGUAAUUUAACCAGUGUUUUACACCAGGUAUAUUUCUCAUCAGCUGACAAUGUGAUGAAUGAUUAUUCCAGCUCAGACAUAGAAAUGAGCUCUCAAUUUUGGCUCAAAAUAAUUUUACUUCAUAUGUUAAAUCUGUUGAUAAUCUUUUAACGUGACAAAUUCUCUGUUUUAUGUAGACUAUGCUUCAGAUAUAAUCUCAGUAAAUGAAAACAAUCAUUGACAUGCAGUGUUUGAGUGUUUGCCAGUCAAACAAAUCCCACUGACAGAAUUAUACAAAAUUGUUUGAUCCCCUUCCCACAGAUUAAAAACACAAACACGUCACCUUAAGCACACUGCGCUUACUCACACCAGGCCAGCACAUAGGUUUUAUUAUUAUUAUUUUUUUUUGUGACUUCUGCAUGAAUAAGAGAGGUGAUUCACUGCUAGUUAUUUUCUGCACUUGCUUAUUAUGUGCUGUCCAAGGUGCUGACAGGAGCACCAGAACUAUGAGCUGUCAAGCUGUCUUCAAGUAGGUGGUUACAAAUUAGCCUGUGGCCACUACAUGUGAAGCUGUGUUGAUGUCCACCUCCCAUUACAGUACAUUUCUAUACAGAGUAUAACUUAAAAUGGCUUUUUCAGCAAUCCAACAAUCAUUUACUCAGUGCUUUAAUGUUGUUUAUUUGUGCAGCUUAAUAAAUUUGUUUCACAUAUCACAUAAUCAGACAAAUGAUAAUCCAGAGAGAAACUGAGCAUAAUUCUUGUAUUAAACCAUACAUACAGUAGCCAUACAAAAUAUCUGGAUUAACCAAUUUCCUGUAAAUCAACUGAAACAGGCACAUUUUAUAAUAUAAUAACAUGAAACAUGGAUGACUAACAUGAAAGGUCAUUGAAAAUACUAAUAUUUAAAAUCGGGAUUGCACUGACAUGUUUCAAUAACAACUACUUUCAUUGUAAACUUUUCACACAUUAAGGCACAUUAUGCUCUUCAGUUUACACAGCACUGAUAAGAUUGUACAACACAUUUUCUAACAUCUAAGAUUUAACUGGGCGAACAGCCCAAAUCCACACACCCAUCCAGUAUUACUGAUUGUCUGCAAGGUUUUAAGACAAUUAGUGCACAUUCGAAAUCAUCUGCUUGUUAAAUUUUCACAGCGAACCAUCUGGAAGAAAUGCUGGACGCUGGAUUCCUGAGGUGAUGUGAUUGACCAUUUGAGUCAAACAUAGCAGCAUGGCCACGGUUUCUCCAGCAGCUGAUGACAAUGAUGGGAAUUUUUCAGAGUUUCAUCGCCAGGAGCCUGGUUAGAGAGGAAAAUAAAAAGAUUAAUAUGACAUGGCUUACUGUUAUGACAUAAAUGUCCAAAAGACACCAUACUGGCACUUUGAUGGUAGUGUGUGUGUAGUGUUAUUCAAUAUAGUGGAAAUGAAAAACCAUAUUAACGUUAACAUUAGAAAUAGAUCCAAAGAGCUAGAGUUGCAUGGUCACAAGGGAUGUCUGUUUUUUUAAAUGAACAUUUCUGAAAGGAAAACAAAAAUACUUCCAAAACUAAUCCUGUGUGCUUAAACUGGCAUUUGUGAUGUCUUGAAUGUCUCUCCACUGUCAACUUGAAAAUAUCUGAUUGACUGAAAUGCAAAUGACAACCCUGCUAUCUUCUGUACUCCUGUACUAUCUUCUGUUCUAUUCCUGAUAAAUCUAGUGAUGGGAAAAGUGUUUAGAAUUAUCGAUCAGUAAUGCUACUAUGAAAACUGAAACACAAUGCAAUGCAAACCACUGUCAGCAAUAUUUUGUUCUUGUAUUUCACCCCAAAUAAUAGGAAGUGGAUUUAUGGGUUUGCAAUACUGCUAAUAUUCUAAAUGUUGUAGAUUUUAGAAAGGUUAGAGUCCAUUUUGGUUGCGUUUCCAAUAGUUUAUUUUAAUGAGAACAAUCAAGCAUCUAAAUUGGAGUGUGGGGUAAUACUGUGCUGUCCUUUGUGUGGGUUAUUCGACAGUUUUACAACAUCACCAUAUUCACUCAGCUUAGUGGUCAUUAUAGUUUUAAAGAGGGUGACAUUUUGAGAUAAUUUUGAGUAUUUAUAUUGCUCCAAAUAAUAGUCAGUAAAACAAAUUUGGUUAUCUAGCGAAGGGUAAUACAUACAACACAACACUUUUACAUGCAUUGACCAUAUUUGUUUACAAUCCCUCAUUCUUUAUUUGCUUCCAAAAGUGGUGUGAAUCAUUUCUAUACCCUGUCACCCUUAGAAUUUGUGUACGAUGUGUAUCAACGGCAUUACCAGUUUUCCCAAAUUAUAUAUAGAGAGGUUUAUGGACAAUUUAAUCCAUGCAGGAGACUUGGCAAGACCCUUUUCUCUGUCAAUUUUCACCCUCUGCUUCAUUCAAACCCCCUCUCUCUUUCUGCGCCUCUACAAUGUGUGGUUUCUUUCUGUCUCUUUCUUUUUUUUUUGUAUUCCCGCAUAUUUUUUUUUCUCAAGCUCCCACUGCCUCCCCAAAAACCCUCAGACAGCAUGCAGCUUAUGCAAAUCAUUGCCCUUUUAUUCUCAAUUCUCGUCCUCAGCCUUGAAUGAGACCUCAAGAAAACACACACACACACACACACACACACACACACACACACACACACACACACACACACACACACACACACUUGUUCUCACCAAACUCUACUGUAAUGGGAACGGAGCCCACCAUGACAUUUUAAUGCACUAUUCACCAAAAUGUUGAUUAUAGUAGAAACAAUCAUAUUAAGUUACUAAUAUCAUUGCAACAGUCCACUCAUCAUGCAAAGAACUACACUCUUAAGAAUAAAUGGUUUUCAAAGCAAUGCCAUAGUAGAACCAUUUUUGGUUUCUUAAAGAACCUUUCAGUAAAGAGUUCUUAAAAGAACCCUUUUCUACUACAAAGAACCUUUUGUGGAAUGGAACUGUUACAGCUUCUUCAUGAAACCAUCGAUGCCAAUAAUGAACAUUUUCAAAAAUAAAGGUCCCAAAAUGGGGUUUCUGCAGAGAUGCCACAGAAGGUUCCAUGGAUGUUAAAGGUAAAAGAGAGAGAGAGAGAGAGAGAGAGAGAGAAACAACAUUUCGAAUUUUAAAGUAGAAAAGCUAAAAUUCCUGUAAAACUUAUUCCAAUUAUCUUUGUUUUAUUUAACACUUUUUUGUGAUGUACAUUAAGCUAAGAGAGGAAAGUAUAUUCACACUGUAGAACCCUAAAGGCCUACAAUCAUUUUUAGCAAGAGUCACAAAUAUUGUUCCUAGAAGAGAUGCAGUGAGAAGGAUUAUGGGAGGGAAGUAGACUAGACAUUUAAGGAAGGAGGGGGCUGUUUACCAAAUCACUGCGACGAGGUGGGGGGUGGGGGGGUGAUGAAUAUAAAGUGCUUGCUGCCAUUCCCAGGGUCUGGAACACACACACAUGCAGGCUGUAUAUAUAAGAGUGUGUGUAUACGGAGGGGCGAGCCAACCAGCCUGACUUCCCUCAGACACUUUGACAGACGGGCCUUUUCACCAGCGCAUUGCUGGGCCAGCCAGCUCUCGCUCCCUUAGCAACGGCACAGAGUAGAGAGCCCCCUCCAGCCCGCCACCAAAACCACAGGGGUGAGGGGACGGGGCAGAUAGAGUGUGGGUUACAAGGGGUGAGCUGGUUCACAGGGGUGGAUGAAGAAGUCCCCAGUCUGGCUGGGACUCCCACAGGCAAUGAACUUGAACUUGACUCUGAUAGCAUUAAUGAGGAUCACACGUCCUUAUAUAAUAUUUGCAUAUGGAUUGGACCAAGGUUAUAAUCAUUAACUAAAACCAUAAAAAAGAUGUUUAUUACUUGAAAUAAAGUAAACAUUAACUGAAAUGAAAUAGGAAAAAUCUAACUUAUUUUCAGAUAAUGUUUAUGUUCUUUUAAUAAUGUUUAAUAAUGUUUAAUGUUAAAAAAAUUUUUUUUUAGUUUUAGUUAAUCAUGACCCGAUUAUAUUAAAAAUAAUUACCAUGAAGCAGGGUUAUUGUUAAUAUUAUUGGGUUAUUAUCAAAAUAAAAUAUUAUCUUAUUUUAUUUCAGGUGGUUGCCAACAUUUCUCUUUUUCAUUUAGUUUAAGCUGAGUUAAUAACUCAAAGUAAUUUAAUGGAAUGUAAAAAUGUAAUAUAAAAUAAAAACUAAAGCUUAAACUAUAUAGACAUAUUUAAAAAAAACAAAUAAAAAAAUAACAAAAACACAAUAAAAUUACUUGUAAAUUUUUUUUUUUUUAAUUCAAAAUAAUAUUAAUUAAUUCCAAACUAUAUUAAUAAUACUAAAAUAACAAUCAUUUUACCUUUUCCAUGAGUUAGUAUUUGAAAUGAAGGGAUAGUUCAUUCAUCAAUUAAAAUUUUGUCAUCAUUUAGUCAUCCUCAUGAACACAAAUACAUUAAAAAGAUUAAAAAUGUCUUUUGUCCAUGAAAGUCAAGUCAUGAAAGUCAAAGGGGUCCAAGUGUUGUUUGGACCACAACAUUUUUGUAAGUAAACAAUGGCAGACAUUUCAAAGCAAACCUUACAAAAAACUGUGACGUUUCAACAAAUAUAUAUAAAUAUAUAUUACAUUUUAAAAGUGAUUGUAAUUCUCCUCAUUAGGAUGUAAAGUGGGCAAAAAGCGAAGGUAAGCUACAAAGUGAGGAUAAUUAUAUCUCAAGGUCUUUUAUAAUGGUGAGGCCAUGAUGGAGGUUUAAGUGUUCCCUGGUCUCCACUCUUAUGUUCUUGAAUUCCAAGUACUGCCCUCUGCUCUCGCAUCCUCCAGGAUACAGUUAUUGAUGUUCCUGAGAGUGCUUAAAGGAUUUGCAGAGAAGUCCCAGCUUCUCUUUUAUUUUAUUGCUUUAUUACAAAUUACAUUGGCAGAACUUUUCAGCGCAACUCUGUUCAGCGCAACUCACUCCAACCUCAUCUUUAGCACUCUGCAUUGUUAUCAACAGAAGAAAAGUCUUUGAAAGAACUGAUUUCCAAAGUGUUAUCCCCUUAUAGGAACAAAAAAUGCAUUUGUCAUCGAAACUAAUUUGAAGUCACAUAAGGGUACUUAGAUUUAGUCUAAAAGCGCACUUAAAGACAUAGUUCACCCAAAAAUAAAAUUUCUGUCAUUUGCUCACAUUUCCAAACCUGUAUGACUUUCUUUUCUUCUGUUGAACAUGCAGUACAUGCACAAAAAAAAUAAUAAUAAAAUAUAAAUAAAUAAAUAAAACGGCAAUCUUACUUUCUUUUGUGUUGCACAAGAAAGUUUAAGAGUGACAUGAGGGUGAGUAAAUAAUAACAUAAUUUGUAUUUUAGGGUGGACUGUCCCUUUAAGGUACUUUAACUUUCAUCCAUCACUCAAGUUCAUGAUCUGGAUUAAGAUGCCGUAUAGUUCUGUGAUCUUAACAUCUCCAUUGUGGCUCUGGAUUACCUGUGUUUAAUAGUUCAGUUUAGAUCUACCACUCUGCUGACUGUGGUUCUUUUUGCUGCAUGUUAUUCCUGCUCGGGAAUCUCAAUCCCAGGCUUUUCACGGCCACUCGUCCAAGGAGGGGGAGAAAAAGGUGGGGGAAACAAUUUCAAAGCUCCCCCGUAGCCGAUACAAAGCUGAGAACAACCCUUGGCGGGAUAAUCGUGUUUAUCCCGAGAUUAAGACGAGAUCGACAGCUGAGGUAUCCAAGGGGAAUUUUACCGUAAAACACACAUUGGUCUUUAACACGAACCCAAGAGAUGCUUCUGAGUCAUUUCUCACCACUGAUCAUUUCGUAGUUACGAAAGCAAUUCGUAACUCGUCUAUUCUUGUUAAGUGUCUUCAUUAACACGAUCCAUUCUCAAAUUGUCCUCAAGAGAUAUCUUUGGUAAAGCAUGCAUUAAAAAUGACUUCUAUAUAAGAUAUAAAUAUAUAUACAAGUGUGAACUUUCUCAGAAAGCAAUAGCAGCUUCCAUUCUCCCUGCAGUCAUGUACGUUUCCAAAUCUAAUCUGGCACUAAAUUUUUAUCACAACAGCAUGAAAUAAAAUCUCACAGAGCUGGCUUUAAGAAAUAAAUAUGUGAAGCCCUAUAACACUGGACAUAAAGAUGACAUAUGACAGGGAGAAAACUGUUAGUAUGCCAGACAAAUAUUCCCAGAAAGCCACCUCCCAUAGGCCUUUGAUAUUAUCAUGCCAGCUGCAGCAACUGCCACAUGGGGCCACAGACUGAGCCAGACAGUAAAAGCCCUCCCCCACCUCUUCUAUUCUCUGCCAAACACACGUUUCCUCGAUAUUUCAUUGUUCAUCAGUGUAUUUAUUAACGUCAAUUGUUUAUCUCACUCUAUUUUUUCCACCGCGUUGCUGUUGAGAGCAGAAAACCUCAGUUAGUGACACAGUGUCCUCGAUUGCUUUGUAUGCAAGUCCUCCAACUCUCCUGCAAUACUUGUUUUCCCCUGUUCACUGCAUCCAUCUGCUUUUUUUCUAUUUUAUUUAGCAUAAUUAAUUCCUCCUUUUUUGUGAUUCACCUUUUGCUUGCUGUGAAAUACUGUUGCUGUCCCAGUGCAAACUUUCUCUGUGGUUUUCUGUAUCACUGCCUCCAUUUUACUGGGUAAUAUAUUGUAAUGGAGCUUUAAUUAAUUGCUUGCCCAACUGCUGUGCCCUAGCAAAAGGGGGAGAGGAACAAACUGUCCUUUAAAUUCAACUCCAGUUGUUUGAGAUUUUACAUGCAAAAUGCAUUAAUAUAUACACAGAACUUUAUGAUUCAUAAAUACUUUGCAAUGCACAUCAUGCAUGAUAUCAAAUCCAUUACAUUUAUGCAUUUAGUAGAUGCUUGCAAAUCCAAGUGGCUUUGGAUACAAAAGCAAUUCGUCACGGAGCCAACAAUAAUUACAAUAAAAUAAAGAAUUAAACUGCAUACACUAAGACAAAAGAUAUACAAUAUAAAAUGCUAUACUUUAGAAUACACACUCAUAUUAAUCAAUUAGCACUGACCUUUAACGAUUUAAAACUCGAUAACAACUUGAUACUCUAGCAGGCACUGCAGAAAAGAGUGCAUCUAUUGCGUGAGCACACAUGAUUGUGCAAAUGCUCAUGCAAUUCCUGACCGCACAAGCAUAUAGUGCUGCUAACACACUCUCGAAGCAGCCUGAGAAAUAAAGCCCCAUCCUCAGCCGUUCCCUGAGGAUAGUCUCUUAGGGUUUUGGUGCUAAUUUAGGCAUCUGGCUCUGUCUGGGCCUGAGCAUCUUUCUCAGCUUAUUACCCUCCACUGUCUCUGGCACUCCAUCCGUACAGACAAUGGUGGGAAACAGGGGGGACUGCGGACCCACGUCAAGUACUCGCCUUACAAUGCUGCCAUUGUAGAAGAGGAGAGGGGUCUGGAAUAAUAAUGUGGGCACUAUCAAACUGUUUACCAACAAAGAGACUACAGCUGACAAUUUGCUCCUUAUUUAUCACAAAUCAUCAUUUGUGGUAUUGCUAUUGAUGCUUGCAUACGUGUAAGGAGAAGCUGUGUAAAAAAAAAACACACACACUCUGAAACUGAUUGACUUUCUUGCACACAGACACGAAAACACAUUUUUCAUCAUACACACAGAUGCAAAUGACCUUGUGUUGAAGUGAUUAUUGUGCCAGACACCUUGGGAGACAUUUCAAGGAAUUGCCCUUUUCAGUCGAUGAAAAAAUAUAAUCACAGUCAUGCCUAAAAUCCACAUAUGCUACUCCAUAAAGCACAUUAUGUUGGACUGCUAACAGAGAGAGCUAUAGUAAUCCAAAUGUGCUAAGGAUUUUUUUAAUAUUUGAAUUAUUCGAUUUUAUUUUUGUAUGAAUUUAGACUGGAUUUUUUUCUUAGCAGUGCAGCGCAUUAUUCUAUAGCUUUUGUGUUUGCAGAAAGGAAAAAAAAAAAACAAAUAUUUCAUUUUUCUGACUUUACGCAUGUGCACAAUCUGUUUGACUGAAAACACAAAGAACUGGUAAACCACAAAAACAAUACAUAGUUCAGCGCUUGAUUUGCAUAUUGAAAACUGGAAAAAUCUGGUAUGGGUUUGGCACUGUGCCAAGCGGCAUAAUUAACACUUUUCAUCCACUGCUCUGCAGCAGUCACAUUAUGCUCUGACAAGCAUCCACUCCCCCUGCUCGACCGCUUAUACCCACACACACAACAUGAACACGCAAAUGCGAAUGUGAACAUUUAUUCUUGCUUCUAUACAUUUGUAAACACUGUUAACAUUUGCUGUUAAACCUACAGUUUUGCUAUCAUUAUGCACCAUUUGGGCAAAUGCAGUGUUGUUGUGUUACAGUACAGCAUUAGACUCUCUGAUUAAGGGUUUAAAAUGAGUUUUGUGUCCGUAUGAGAGAUAUUUAAGCAUUGAAGGUCUUUUACAUAAAACCCUGAGAGAUGCAGAAGGAGGAAACCCCUCCCCCUCACAGCAAGAUACACAGCAUAAUUAGAAAUUCCCUAUUAAAGGUACAGUCUCUCAAUUCUAGGCUACUAUUUUGUCCAAGGACGAGUUUAAAAUGUAUGCAUUGAGUGUUUGGUCUCAAAGAGAGACGCUCAGUUUUGUAUCAUCUUGAAAAAUCUAUUUUUCUUCUGCAUGUAGAUAGAGAAACCAUUUCCAUAUAUUAAUAAUAUAAUAACAUCUAUUGAGACAAAUGUGCGGUGGUAAAUCUUAAAUCUGUAGCUUUGUGUUGUAGCAUAAUCAUAAUUUUUUUUUUUGUCUAUUACAGGCUCACAAAAACUCCUAAAUUAUUAAACCCCUGGCUAUUUCUUUUAAAAUUAUGAACAUGGAUUGUUCUUGUCUAUCAUAUGCAAAACUGAGAAAGCGAAUGCUCCUGCUAAAUAUAGAUUGCAAAAAUAAAAUUUUGCAUUCAGAAUGGACACAUUUCUGCAUUGUAUAUUUGUGUGUGUAUUUAUCCCUGGAAAUUUCUAGAAUGCUUGUAUAAUUCUCUGCAAGAAAAAAAAACAGAUAGAACACAAGCACAACAGUAACAUCGAAGUCUUUUUCUGCUUUGAAAGCAUCAAAGUCUUUUUCUGCUGAAAAGUUGGUAUUCAAAUUUGAACAUAAACAUUCAAAAUAUAGAAUGCUGCCACGUGCCGUUGCUAAAGCGCCGCUGUGCCUUUAAUUGGGGGCUCAGUUCUCUCUGCUUGUUCCUAUGCAAUUAUGUUAAUAUGCAGAGCUUGUCUGGUCUUUUUCAUUAACAGAGGCACUUGCAUCAUUGUUUCCUUUAUUUGUAAGCUCCACGGGCACCUUCCGUACAUCAGUGAUCUUUUUUACACGUCUUUUUUGAUGGGCUAUUCUGCCAAGCCUCCUCUUUUAGGAUAAAAAUAAAAAAAGCUCAUUUAUGGACAAGGAUGUCUUUUAGGCACACAGGGUUUCCACGCUCAGUAAGUAUGCAAAUACGGUUUUCUGUUAUUACGAGGGAGAUUCAAUGGCUUAAAAUAUUCAGUAGAUGACGCAUCAUUUGUCUCGUCCUCACAUUUCAAUGUAUUUUGAAUAUUUACGCUCUAUCCGUUCGUAUUGCUCUGGUUACAUCACAAAAGCAAAGCAUAUUUGUCAUCCUAGAGCAAAUAUGUUUGAGAAUGCCUGUGUUCCACCUAUUUGAAUCAUUUUCUGUAAUAAACACACCAGCACAGCUCUGCAUAUCACCAGCAAUCCAUUAUGACGCAACCAGUCACCUUUGUGAAGUACAUUUCAAUGUCUUCCAUCCAUUUCAAUGACAUAACUUGCAGCUCUCUGCAACCAGGCGGCCUGCGUACAUUUCCGUUUACCACGUAACAUCCGAGUGAUACGAGCGAGCAAUGUGAUGUUUUGCACGUCUCGCCUCUUGAUCAGCUAAUGUUACAAACUGUGGCUGUUUUAAAAGACACCAAACAAAAUUUAAAAACAUGGUACAGUGUAAGAGCCUGCAGACCUUUUUCUAACAUUAAAGUUGGGCAGGGCAGCGUAUGUGCUAUUGUAAGCUGGUGAGGGGCACUUGGCACCUUCGUGCCAGUAAUUUGGUGUAUCAUUAACAAAAGCAGCAGAAACAAAAGUGCUCUUCAGUUCAGGUUGACUCUGUUGCUUUGGUCAAGAGGAUGCCGUAUGUCAAUUAACUUGAGUUCAAGCAGCUCUCGCUUUUUGGUUUCAUCUGAAAAUCUGGAGUGGUCAUUUUUGUGUCGUCACUGAACCAUGGAUUUUGUUGCAUGGUUUUGUCCUUUAUAACAUAUAACCCGACCUUAAGUCAAUUAAUGGAGUAAGAGCAGGAAUUAAUAGCUACUUUCAUUCUCUCCUUCAUUUGAAAAUGCAUAUACAGCAGCAGGAGGGAUUCAUUUGCUUUCAAAGCUCGCUACAAAUCAGAAGGUCUUUGUGCAUAUCUGAGCGUGUGCAUAUAGAUAACGGGGAUAUUUUCUAAUUAGUCAGGAAAGAUGAGAGCGUGAUAGCUCUUUUUAAAGAAAAUGAUUUGGGCCUAAUCUUACGCCGCCAAAAAAGCAACCACAAAACACAUUUUCUAGAGACUUUUUUGCCUAAUUUUUUUGCUUUACGUUUCAAACGACCUGGCAACCACUGGCGGAGCUAAAAUCAGACGCAAUAAAGCGGCAGCUAGUCUGAUAUAGGCAUCGAUGCAGCUUACCUCAUGCCAACACAGCCAUUUUAGGGAGCAGCAGCCAGUUUCUCCAUCAAGAUGGCUUCCUGAAAGCACACCCCUCAUUCAGACUUGCAGUCUUCCUGCAUCUGGUGGUCCGUGGCAACUGGCAGCCUCUUUGUCCCCAUUGGCACUUGGGAUGUAGAGUCUCACUCCUUUCCUUUUUUCCUCUUUUCUCCGGGGGCACAGAUGGCACUAAAUGCUUCCGUUGAUGAAGAAGGGAGGGGAGCUGAUGGCGUUUUCCCCCUUAGCUCCAGUCCUCUGGUCUCUCACAAAGACACAGCAGUUUGAGAGGCUA
Long non-coding RNA from Cyprinus carpio carpio, 13389 nucleotides. NCBI's taxonomy places the organism in Eukaryota, Metazoa, Chordata, Actinopteri, Cypriniformes, Cyprinidae. The record is from Ensembl.